AUUUUUAUUUCUUUUAAUAGUAAUAUAUUAUAUUUAUUUUGGUUAUUUUUUAUUUAAUUACUAUCGCACCCGCUGGUUUACCAGUCAUAAAACUCCCGCAAAAGCAUCCAUUAUCAAACGCUCAACCAGUCGUUCAAAACGCUUGAUAACGCUUGAAACCGCAACCGCCCGUUUUCGCAAACUCCCGCAACCGCAUCCGCUACGUUUAAACCAGUCAGGCUAUUAAUCUUUCAUUCUACGAUUAAAUAUAUGUUC
RNAcentral lists this small RNA (255 nucleotides) under Arabidopsis thaliana (thale cress). RNAcentral describes it as "ATSL304010". Lineage: Eukaryota; Viridiplantae; Streptophyta; Magnoliopsida; Brassicales; Brassicaceae. The record is from RNAcentral.